UAUGACGCACUAAGAUCGAUUUCCGGGUCACGGGUCGGAAACUCGGAAUAGUGAAACGAGAUGAGCUUUCUACGAGCAGGAUGUUGGCGACAGUGAAAAGGAAAAACUUGAUUUUUAACAGGAAGAGAGCUGCAGCCGAACCAGGCUCAGGGAGGGCGGACAUCUGCCUCAACUGGAUUAGUCUCCAGACAAAUGCAAGGAAACCUACAAAAUGUUCAUCCAUCGUGCCCCAGCAGUCUGAUUGGAGACGUGAGCAGAGGGAUGAUGAGAGGGAUUCAGCUGUUGUGUUCCUUUUUUGAUGCGUAAGUAGCAUUGAGAUGUCUCAAACCGCACCAAAUACAGCCUUAGCAUAGACUUUACAGUCGCUCUGGCAGUGCGAUGACAGCUCCUCCAUGCAUAAUUAUAGCCGCCACAUAUGAUAAACAUG
Molecule: long non-coding RNA, 427 nt
Organism: Amphiprion ocellaris (clown anemonefish)
Lineage: Eukaryota; Metazoa; Chordata; Actinopteri; Pomacentridae
Exons: 3
Source: RefSeq, a predicted model, not a curated record